GACGAACGCUGGCGGCGUGCUUAACACAUGCAAGUCGAACGGAAAGGCCCUGCUUUUGUGGGGUGCUCGAGUGGCGAACGGGUGAGUAACACGUGAGUAACCUGCCCUUGACUUUGGGAUAACUUCAGGAAACUGGGGCUAAUACCGGAUAGGAGCUCCUGCUGCAGGGUGGGGGUUGGAAAGUUUAGGCGGUGGGGGAUGGACUCGCGGCUUAUCAGCUUGUUGGUGGGGUAGGGGCUUACCAAGGCUUUGACGGGUAGCCGGCCUGAGAGGGUGACCGGGGACAUUGGGACUGAGAUACGGCGCAGAGUCCUACGGUGGGCAGCGGUGGGAAACAUUGCCCAAUGGGCGGAAGCGUGAUGCGGAGGCGCCGCGUUCGGGAUGACGGCUUGCGGGUUGUAAAACGCUGCCGCUUGUGACGAAGCGUGAGUGACGGUAAUGGAUAAAGAAGCACCGGCUAACUACGUG
Molecule: ribosomal RNA, 468 nt
Filed under: uncultured bacterium
Lineage: Bacteria
Description: partial 16S ribosomal RNA
Rfam family: Bacterial small subunit ribosomal RNA
Source: RNAcentral